RNAcentral lists this ribosomal RNA (1116 nucleotides) under Triticum aestivum (bread wheat). RNAcentral's name for it is "partial small subunit ribosomal RNA". Lineage: Eukaryota; Viridiplantae; Streptophyta; Magnoliopsida; Poales; Poaceae. The record is from RNAcentral.
AUGUAUAAAGAAAAGAAGGAGAUUCUUUGUACAGUGGUUCAGAAUUGUAGGACACCUGAUGGUUGUGCAUCAAACUUUUCGAGGUGUGUGAACAUGAAAGAAUUGACAUUGACUGGCCUCAAAAGCCACGACUGCCAUGUUAUUCUACAAGACAUCCUUCCUGUGGCACUUUUACACUGUUAUCCCAGUAAAGAUGUCAUGACAAUAGUUGUUGAGCUGGCUAAUUUCUUCAAGAAGCUAUGCUCCAAAGUGUUAGAUGUCUCUGAGCUUGACAAACUGCAAGAGAGUAUUGUGAAGACACUUUGUAAUAUGGAAAAGGUUUUUCUUCCAUCGUUUUUUACUGUCAUGGUACAUUUAAUGGUGCAUUUAGUUGAAGAAGCUAAACUUGGUGGCCUGGUGCAUUACAGGUGGAUGUACCCUCUAGAGAGAUCAUUUGUUUGGCUAAAGUCACUUGUGCGCAAUAGAGCUUAUCCUGAAGGUUCUAUUGCUGAAGGAUAUACUGUUGAAGAAUGCUUGACCUUUUGUUCAAGAUUUCUAGAAGGAACCACACGUUUCACAAGAACAUCUAGGAACCCUGAUCCUUCAGAUAAUACAAAGGGCAUGUACAUGUUUGAUAGUGUUGGUGAGCCAAUUGGAAAGGCUGUCACUAUAGGCCAGUUGGACGAUCAGCUUCUAGUUCAAGCACAUAGAUAUGUCUUGCGACACUCUGAUGAGCUUGAUGAUCUUCGUAGAGAAUUUCUGGACCAAGAGAAGAGGAAACCGGGUAACUUAAAUUUGACGGAUGAUGACAAUGAGGAUUUGAUUAGUAGACACUUUGCUGACUGGUUGGAACAAAAGGUUAUACCAGAUGAUGGACUGGAUAUCACAGAAAAGAUAAGAGCAUUAGCCGUAAAACCAAGCAAAUGCGGGGUGCGCUAUAGUGGCUAUAUAAUUAAUGGUUUCAGGUUUCAUACUAUCAGUCGCGAGACAGGACACGUGACACAAAAUAGUGGUGUCGUGAACCUUGCUAAAAAUGGCGUGUCCUAUUAUGGUCGGUUAUCUGACAUCUUCGAAUUGUCAUACAAAGAUUACAAGGUGGUCUUCUUUAAAUGUGAUUGGGUAGAAGUUAGAGGAUGA